CAAGAGAGCUUGCUCUCGGGUGACGAGUGGCGGACGGGUGAGUAAUGUCUGGGAAACUGCCUGAUGGAGGGGGAUAACUACUGGAAACGGUAGCUAAUACCGCAUAACGUCGCAAGACCAAAGAGGGGGACCUUCGGGCCUCUUGCCAUCAGAUGUGCCCAGAUGGGAUUAGCUUGUAGGCGGGGUAAUGGCCCACCUAGGCGACGAUCCCUAGCUGGUCUGAGAGGAUGACCAGCCACACUGGAACUGAGACACGGUCCAGACUCCUACGGGAGGCAGCAGUGGGGAAUAUUGCACAAUGGGCGCAAGCCUGAUGCAGCCAUGCCGCGUGUGUGAAGAAGGCCUUCGGGUUGUAAAGCACUUUCAGCGGGGAGGAAGGCGGUACGGUUAAUAACCGUGCUGAUUGACGUUACCCGCAGAAGAAGCACCGGCUAACUCCGUGCCAGCAGCCGCGGUAAUACGGAGGGUGCAAGCGUUAAUCGGAAUUACUGGGCGUAAAGCGCACGCAGGCGGUCUGUCAAGUCGGAUGUGAAAUCCCCGGGCUCAACCUGGGAACUGCAUUCGAAACUGGCAGGCUGGAGUCUCGUAGAGGGAGGUAGAAUUCCAGGUGUAGCGGUGAAAUGCGUAGAGAUCUGGAGGAAUACCGGUGGCGAAGGCGGCCUCCUGGACA
Molecule: ribosomal RNA, 670 nt
Filed under: Enterobacter sp. VTT E-96691
Lineage: Bacteria; Pseudomonadati; Pseudomonadota; Gammaproteobacteria; Enterobacterales; Enterobacteriaceae
Description: bacterial SSU rRNA
Rfam family: Bacterial small subunit ribosomal RNA
Source: RNAcentral